RNAcentral lists this ribosomal RNA (283 nucleotides) under uncultured prokaryote. RNAcentral describes it as "partial 16S ribosomal RNA". It matches the Rfam family "Bacterial small subunit ribosomal RNA", at positions 524 to 817 of the family's 1533-position model. The record is from RNAcentral.
UACGUAGGGGGCUAGCGUUAUCCGGAAUUACUGGGCGUAAAGGGUGCGUAGGCGGUCUUUCAAGCCAGAAGUGAAAGGCUACGGCUCAACCGUAGUAAGCUUUUGGAACUGUAAGACUUGAGUGCAGGAGAGGUUAUCGGAAUUCCCGGUGUAGCGGUGAAAUGCGUAGAGAUCGGGAGGAACACCAGUGGCGAAGGCGGGUAACUGGACUGCAACUGACGCUGAGGCGCGAAAGUGUGGGGAGCAAACAGGAUUAGAUACCCCCGUAGUCCCUGAGCGGGCU